GGACAACCUGCCCUCGGGAGGGGGAUAACCCCGGGAAACUGGGGCUAAACCCCCAUAGGUGAUGGAUACUGGAAUGUUCCAUCACCGAAAGUCCGCAAGGAGCCCGAGGAUGGGUCUGCGGCGGAUUAGGUAGUUGGUGGGGUAACGGCCCACCAAGCCUAAGAUCCGUACGGGCCAUGGGAGUGGGAGCCCGGAGAUGGACCCUGAGACAAGGGUCCAGGCCCUACGGGCGCAGCAGGCGCGAAACCUCCGCAAUGCGGGAAACCGCGACGGGGUCAGCCGGAGUGCCGAUGCUUGCAUCGGCUGUCGGGGAGCCUAAAAAGCUCCCCAUAGCAAGGGCCGGGCAAGGCCGGUGGCAGCCGCCGCGGUAAUACCGGCGGCCCGAGUGGCGGCCACUAUUAUUGGGCUUAAAGCGUCCGUAGCCGGGUUGGUUAGUCUCCCGGGAAAUCUGGCCGCUUAACGGUCAGAAUUCCGGGAGAUACUGCCAGCCUAGGGACCGGGAGAGGCCGAGGGUAUUCCCGGAGUAGGGGUGAAAUCCUAUAAUCCCGGGAGGACCACCUGUGGCGAAGGCGCUCGGCUGGAACGGGUCCGACGGUGAGGGACGAAGGCCAGGGGAGCAAACCGGAUUAGAUACCCGGGUAGUCCUGGCUGUAAACGAUGCGGACUUUGUGUCGGACAAGCUAUGAGCUUGUCCGGUG
This 698-nucleotide ribosomal RNA is filed under the name uncultured archaeon. RNAcentral describes it as "bacterial SSU rRNA". It matches the Rfam family "Archaeal small subunit ribosomal RNA", at positions 102 to 800 of the family's 1478-position model. The record is from RNAcentral.